This 497-nucleotide ribosomal RNA is filed under the name uncultured bacterium. Its description in RNAcentral is "partial 16S ribosomal RNA". It matches the Rfam family "Bacterial small subunit ribosomal RNA", at positions 28 to 507 of the family's 1533-position model. The record is from RNAcentral.
GAUGAACGCUGGCGGCGUGCCUAAUACAUGCAAGUCGAGCGAACGGACGAGAAGCUUGCUUCUCUGAUGUUAGCGGCGGACGGGUGAGUAACACGUGGAUAACCUACCUAUAAGACUGGGAUAACUUCGGGAAACCGGAGCUAAUACCGGAUAAUAUUUUGAACCGCAUGGUUCAAAAGUGAAAGACGGUCUUGCUGUCACUUAUAGAUGGAUCCGCGCUGCAUUAGCUAGUUGGUAAGGUAACGGCUUACCAAGGCAACGAUGCAUAGCCGACCUGAGAGGGUGAUCGGCCACACUGGAACUGAGACACGGUCCAGACUCCUACGGGAGGCAGCAGUAGGGAAUCUUCCGCAAUGGGCGAAAGCCUGACGGAGCAACGCCGCGUGAGUGAUGAAGGUCUUCGGAUCGUAAAACUCUGUUAUUAGGGAACAACAUAUGUGUAAGUAACUGUGCACAUCUUGACGGUACCUAAUCAGAAAGCCACGGCUAACUACGUG